CGGUCACGAUUGCACCUGAUGUUAAAAAUCAUGCUAACAUCAGUUUGUGAAAAAACCGAUUUCUAUUGUUAUUAUAGACAUCAGUCACAAACUUAAACGAUGAGAAAAAUUUCAUUCGGAAAAUUUUUAAAAACGCUGAGGGACUAAGUUUAAAAAUUUGAGAACCGCGGGGACCAAUUAUUUCAUUCCGCCAACACUUGGUACUUUUUUCCGCUUUCUCUAAAACUUUCGAACCCUAGUAAUAACCACUCUCACAAUUUGACUUCAGCAACUCAUUCACCUUGUCGACCUCAUCGUUCUCCAAGCUGACCUGCUCCCCGACAUCCUUCUCCAACCUGACGUGCUCCGAGUCCCCGACUUCAUUCUCCUACCUAAGCCGACUGGCACAGCCUCCGACCUGACCCCGAGUCCCCAACCUCGCUCUCUGACUGCGAGUUCCUAGAUCUGCCUCGCUCUCUAUCCCCGAGUCCUUGACCUCGCUCUCUGACCACGAGUUCCUGACCUCGCUCUCUGACCGCGAGUUCCUAGAUCUGCCUUGCUGUCUGACCCCGAGUCCCUGACCUCGUUCUCCAAACCUCGAGCUUGAGAUCCGAUCUAACCUAGAGCUUAUUAGCCAACCUGAGCUUGUCAUUCUCUAACUUGAGCCAGCUCUAGCUAGUUCUCCAACGUCUAGUCGUGUAGGUCCUCUCUCUCUCUUCUCUUGGUGACCACCAAUACUGAUUUCCUGUCCGAUUUUGAUCUAAAGUCGUCCAUUAUUCAUUUUGGACAAGCAAAGGCUACUUAUAAAGAAGAAAGAUAUUCAUGCAUUGCAGCAGAGGAUGAGCUAGCUCCAAUCUUCAACAUAUUUUUCUUCAGUGAUUACAUCCCUCCAAUCUUACAUUCUUCUUGUUUUUUUUUUUUUAGGAACACCCUGAAGACGGUGGUUGGCAUGAUCUUGUAGCAAAAGGAUUUAUAGAAUAUAUGGAUACUGAAGAAGAGGAGACCACUAUGAUUUAGAUGACAAUUAAUGAUCUUGUACAAGCAAGGCUCAAUCCUGAGGAGGCAUAUUCUGACACUUAUGCUCAUUGCAAAAUUCACCCGUCACUUAUAUUGGGUGUUUGUGCUUCAAUUAUACCAUUUCCUGAUCAUAAUCAGUCCACGUAAUACGUUCAAUCUGCCAUGAGAAAGCAAGCUAUGGGAAUUUAUGUCACUAACUACCAGUUUUGAAUGGAUACACUGGCUUAUGUUCUGUACUACCCUCAGAAGCCGCUUGUCACUACAUGAGCCAUCGAGCAUCUUCACUUCAGGAAACUUCUUGCUAGAAUUGUAAAAAUAUCUCUUUCUUUUAGUUUCUCAUUUCUUUUCCUUGUUUUUUUUUUCCUCUCUUUCCUAACUUCACUCCGUAAUGAUUUAUGUCUACGCAUUGUUACCAUUUCCUGCUACUCUGGUUAUAAUCAGGAAGAUUUUGUCAUUAUGAAUCAAUCCUCUAUAGAUUGUGGAUUUUUUUGGUCACUAUUCUUCCACUCCUAUAGGUUAGCUUGUUUCCAACACCUAUUGCAAGGACAUGUUGUUCAUAUUAUUCUAUUGUGUUGCAUAAAAAAGAUGGGGACCCAUGUCAAAGAAGAUUUCGGACAUCUAGACAGAGUAAAUACGAUGGGUAUGUGGCAUGGUUCUUAUGAUAAAUUGGAUAAUGAUUUGCACAUCCUGUUAUAUUACAAGACUACUGGGAGAAGCGGAGGAUUUGGGUUUGCGACUAUGUCUAGUGAUCAGGAAGUAGAAGCAGCUGCUCGAUAGUUUAAUAGCUAUGUAAGUCACCAUAUUAUAUCAUUUGUUUGUAUAUAUGCGAAAAUUUGAAACAAAUUCUAGAUAUGAGAUAGUUGGAUUGGUGUAAAAUUGAGUUAACAUUUCCAAGUGGUGAAACAUUUGAGUUAAUAUUUCUAGUCAGAGUAAAAUUACACUGAGUUUCUUUUCAGAUUGCUUAAUUUGGAAGGGUAAUUGGUUCAUACAAGAGAAGAGCUGUAAGAUACUUGCUUGAAUUUGUGCGUAUUUAGUAGUCGGGGGACUCUGUAUGGUCAUUUUUAAUUCUUCUGAUGUUAAACAACCAUUGAGAAAUGGUGGGAGCGAAUGACCUGUUGGUUAUUGGGCCAGGAGUACUUGGGCAUUUAGUUGCAAAGAAAUGGCGGGAGGUACUUAUCUUUGUCUACAUUUUGAUUAGUUUUAGUGACAAAAUAGUCAAAUUUAGUUCAAUUCUGUAAUGGUUAAGCAAUUGAGCUUAUAAGAGCAUACGGGUUGUGAAAUAUAUGGGCAAACGGUGACCGUUGGUCACCAUGAAGAGUUGAUCGAGGUGGUAUUAAUUCAUGUUUGAAGGGGACCAUAAAUUUCCUAAUGUCAUUUUCUGUGCUCCACCAUCUAGAACCUCCGAUUAUCCCAAUGAUGUUUGGUGAGUAUGUGAGUUGUUUUGAGUUAAUUGAAUUGAAAUGUAUGUGGAAGGCAAUCUUUGUUUUCUUUUUACUAGAUUUUUAACAUGCUUUAGAAUGCUAUAUAUGCACCAUGCUGCAUGUCUUCUCAGUUAUCUUUUCUUUGUUAGAAUCUAUCCGAAACUUUGUGGUCUGGAGGUAGAUUUGAAUCAAUUACCCCACAUGAAAAUAUUCAAUUCAGUUUCAACCAUUUGAACCUUUGGGCAUUUCUAUAGGUUUGAUUGCUUAAAGCUCUUCAUAUCUACUGUAUAUAUUGCAAGCCCCCUCAACUUGUCCUUGGCAUGUCUACGUAAGUUAAUCCUUUAGUUAUCAUUUUCUUUUUUAAAACCUACCCGAAAGUUUGCUAUCCAAGAUAUAGUUUUGAUUAAUAAUAAACUUGCAUAUAUAUUAUAUUCUAUUCAGUUUCAACAAUUUCAACCUUUGUGGGUUGUUGUAUUGUGCUCUCGUAUUCCUAUCAGUUUUAUAGUAUAUGAGAUAUUAAGAUCUUAUUGGCUGGCACAGAGGCGACUAAUUACUUUUCUUUAUGGACUCCACAAUUUUAGGGUAUUCAUGCCCUUUGAUUGUUGUUCUAUGCAUUCUUUUUUUCAGACCUAACACGAUAAUAUUAAUUUUGUGUCUUUUCAUGAGGCCUGAUUAUUCUACUGAUCUGGUUAGCCUUGCUUGUAGGAGCCUUUCAGCAAUUGCAUCAUCAACAGGUGAGUGAUCCUAGACUUUCUAUUUGCAGUCGGUUCUAUUAUAGGGUGGCACUACAGGUGAACCUUUGUUCUCAGUCAUCAAAUAUUCAUGGAGGAUGCAGUGGAAUUGGCAUAUUUGCGAUUCAUAUGGCUAAGUACCAGGGAGCAACUGUAUCUGCAAUAGCAGGUACUGAUGCAAAGAUAGCUGGGCGGUAAAGGAUCGGAAAGGGUAUACCCAACAACAACUUGACGAGGUCCGCAUUGAAGUAGCCGACUACUUACAGACUCUGCUGUAGGUUCUGACCAGUUUCUUGAUUUUGAGUUAGGCUAGUUUUUAAUUAACUUUUUUGUAGCAAUUAUGAACAAACAUGAAUACUAAUUGCUAGGCUAGCCUUGUAGUAUAUAGGUGCAUGAAAUGGGGUUUUAUUUUGCCCAUUUUGUAAACUGUUAAGGAUGAUGAAUGUCGGAUAUAAUACCCCAAUUUGCAAU
Long non-coding RNA from Rosa chinensis, 3619 nucleotides. RefSeq lists it as uncharacterized. The record is from RefSeq and is a predicted model, not a curated record. NCBI's taxonomy places the organism in Eukaryota, Viridiplantae, Streptophyta, Magnoliopsida, Rosales, Rosaceae. The transcript has 8 exons.